Long non-coding RNA from Crotalus tigris (Tiger rattlesnake), 575 nucleotides. RefSeq lists it as uncharacterized. The record is from RefSeq and is a predicted model, not a curated record. The transcript is spliced from 3 exons. NCBI's taxonomy places the organism in Eukaryota, Metazoa, Chordata, Lepidosauria, Squamata, Viperidae.
GACGUCCCUCCCCGACACCUCUGACAAGCAAAAGCCCACCCCCUUGGCCAGAAAGCGCCCACGUGACACGCCAAGGGUUUCACAAUCUUUUUAAAUUAAGGCUGUGCAUGCUUUGGAAAUGACUCAGAAGUACUUCAGACAGAACCUGCAUGAAUACAAACCAUCUCUGUCCAUGACGAAUAUAUUGUUCCAGCCAGGGAAACAGAGGAAAACUGCAUGCAGGUUCUUGAAUAAGGUAUAAGUGUAAAAAUGAGUUGAGAUUUUGGUAACUACAUUCAUGCCUUUUUCUUGACUUUGUGUUAUGAAAGUGGUCUGCUGUUGCUCCUGCUCUUCUCCAUUUUCCAACAAGUCUGGAGAUAAAGUGCUGAUUCAAGUACUAACAAGGCUGAUCCUCCUUAGCUUCCCAAGACAAGUCAAAGUUGGUAAAGCACUGCCACCUACUGAGGCAUCAAACAAUAACAAUGAAAGCACCUUCCAUUUAUACCCUAGAGCUGUGUAUGUGUGAUGAGGUCCCAUCUAUAUUAUGGUCCUCUUUCUACCCAGAAAGUUAGACAUGGUCCUUGUCCACUCUUAGU